Homo sapiens (human) is the source of this 7086-nucleotide long non-coding RNA. RefSeq annotates it as MIR200B, MIR200A and MIR429 host gene. NCBI's taxonomy places the organism in Eukaryota, Metazoa, Chordata, Mammalia, Primates, Hominidae. The record is from RefSeq and is a predicted model, not a curated record. The transcript is spliced from 2 exons.
CUUCCCUCCCGAGGCCCCCACCUCGCCACCGCCUCCCAUUGUCCCGUCGCCCUCGAAACUCUCCCAGAGACGGGCGAGUUGUCCACCUGUGCAGGUCUGAACUGACUUCCUGUGCCAGGGCCUCGCCUGAGCGGGGGCAGGAAGCUCACCCUUGCAGGUCUCCCCGCGCCAACGGACGCCCUGAGGCCUGACCCUGGCUGAGGCAGAGCACCCAGCUCCGUGGACCGGGACGGACGGGCUCAGGUGCCCCCCAUUCCUUCCGAAGCCGGUUCACACCCACCCGGGCCUGGCACAGGGGAGGCGCUGGCUGCAGGGUCGGGGCGGGAGCAGCCUCAACCCGGCUCCUGGGCCGCGGCCGCAGCAGUGGAACCUGUCGGGGCAGCAGGCCUUCUAGAAAGUUCUCUCCAGAAGCAGCCACCGCCGUCCUGAGGCACUUUGUGCGGAGACGGGAAGCUGUCGCCUCAGAGGUGGGUGCGUAGAAGGGUUUGGCCGGGUGCGAGGAUGACCGCGUCUCCCUUGGGCUCUGGAGUCUGCGGUGGGAAGGGCUUGGUUUCAGCACCCUCUGGUCAGAGGCCGGCCGAGCCCAUGGGCGGUGAGGUUGGUGCCUGGGGUCGUGGCUGGUCUGGUACAGGUGGGGCUCAGCCCGGAGAAGCUGGAGCCGGUUCCCAGGCCCCGCGCUAUGACUGGGGUGGGGGCAACGUCUCUCGUGAGGUUUUUUACUUAAAUGUGAAACGGCUCAGUACGGUGGCCGCAGCCGGGAACAAGGUCCGACCCACCGAGGCCCAGCCUUGAACUUGCCGCGGGGGCACCUGAACACGGUUUUACAGCCCGGAUCACUGGCUUUCUUGAAGUUUGGGAACUGAUUGAUCAUGGUGGCGGGAGGUAAGGUUCAUUGUUCUUGAUGAACAAAAUUCUUAGGGCGUGAAGAGCCGAUGCUUUAAUUAACCCCCCGGGAGCGUCUCAGGCCUCCCCCCGGGAGCGUCUCAGGCCCCGUUUACGCUGAGUGUCUGGGGAAAGACGUGGUUUGGUUUUGUUUUUCUAGUAACCCAGAUGAAAUGUUUAAAAGCAUGGUUGGCAGCACAUUGAAUUUGGCAAAAUUAAGGUUUGCAUUUGUGAAAAUGCGGAUGCAGUUUGCGGUUCUUUUCAGACAUUUUGGUAAUUUGCAAAUACUUAUUUGCGAAACGAGUUUGUCAGAACAUUUUUUAGUAUCUAGAGGAAGAUGAGAUGGGCCGAGGAGGUCGCGCACCCCUGGAUCCCUGGAGGAGCUGGUGUGUUCUCUGUGGGGCGGGUGGACGUGGCCCGGACACACGGGCCGUGCUCACAGCCGGCCUGCGAGGGCUGCAAAUCCACGCCCGCCGUGUGGGUGAAAUGGCGGCUUUGCCUCCCAGACGCGUAGCUCCGGCGACGCAGAGGGAAGAACCUGAGUGCCCGCCAGGCCGAGCUCCGCACCCCACCCCCCGGCAGCCUCUGACUCCCGGCUCGGCUCCCGCGGUCGGGGAGGGUUGGAUUUCACACUUUGUUCUCGAGGCCGCACCAUUGAUUAAGCCCGUCGGGCAGGUUAACCAACAAGUUAGGUUUUCACGCCGGGAUCACAUUCCUCGCCGGGCGCUCCCACCCCACCCCAGCCUGUGCAGGUGGGACCCGGCCAGGCAGGCGGGCAGGGCGGCCAGGUGCGCCGAGGGGCGCCUCCACGGGGAGUGUGCUCCGCAGAGAACCCCUUGCUGGGGCGGCUCUGGGCCUCCUGACUCACUCCUGGAUUUUCCCAAGCUGAGUCUGGCCCCGCGGUGAUGAUUAACCCAACACCUCAACCGGCACCGCCACGCUAGCUCCACUUCCCGGCGACGGUUGACAAGAAAGCGCCGCGUGGGGCUCUCGGAAAACAGGGAAGGUCCGUUUUCGCUUUUCAUUUCUUGACCUGUGGCCACGGUAAGACUCGGCCGCCUGCCCACCCGACUCCUUGCCCCUCACCCCUGUGCCAGGCACAAGGCCCUGCGAAAUCCUUGGUCCCCCAGCUGAGCCUGCCGGCCCAGGCCACCAUCUCCCCACCCAGCCCUGGAGCCAGGGUCGGCCUCUCCUGCUAGCUGCUCGUUGGCUUUACAGCUUCUGCACUCAGGAGGCGCCUGGGAAUCCUGCCCUGGAACUUAGGAAGGAGGCUUCUCCCACCUGCCUGCCACACGGGUCUGUCCCUGGGUCCCAGCCUCUGCCGUGUGCCCCUCAGCCUCCCGGGUGAGAACGCAAUGACUGAUGAGCCUGGGGUGGCCAGGCCAGCUCUGGCCCUGUGGGGUUCCUGAGAAGGCUGGCCCUGGGUGGCCAAGGGCCUGGGGACACUGGCCCCGGGCCCUGAACCUGGCAGUGGGAGGCCGGCCCGUCCGCCGGGUGGGCUGGGAACUGUGUUUGGCCCCAGCUGCAAGGGACGAGUGCCGGGCACCUGCUGCCCUCCCCACGUGACCUGGCAGCCAGGAAUGGAGCUGAAAUUCAACUCUGCUCUGAACGGGAAGUCUUAGUUUCCUUUAGCUCAGAAAACAGGUGAAAUUGUGUUCCUGAAGCACUGAUUUGAUGGGAUUUGAUGGCAUUGGUGGCGAAGGCCUGUGAGGUGAUGGAAAGGGAAAGCCGGGUGCCCUGGAGCCUGACAGGCUGGGGCCAGGGCAGGGGACCUGGUGUGGGGUCUCCGGAGAGGGUCCAGGCGUGAGGGAAGCUGGGUCAGGACCUCGGAGACGUGGCCUUUGGAGGAGGAGACUGGAACCGGGUGGACCCGGCAGCAGGCGGGGGCGGGCGGACACGACCUUUGUUGUGGUCGGCGGGCAGACAGGGGAAUCGGCACAGGGCCUGCGCCCCACCUACAGCCUCUGUGGGUGGAAGGUGCCAGAAAACUUGAAGAGUGGCUCUGGCCAGCUCUCUGGGCCCAGUUGGCACCAGGUGGUUGCAGAGAAAGGGUGGGAAGGAGGACAGGAAGGACGGCGUGUCCAGCGGGCGGGGAGCCUUGGUCUGGCCUGAGGGCUGAACCUCCCUCGGGUCCUGAGUGUGCCUGGAGUAGAAGCCUAGGGUCUCUGGGCUCCAGGCAGGGCCCUGAGCAAGGAGGGGCCACAGGGCUGCCCACUUCCUCCUGCCCCCCUGCAGAGGCGGCUCAGCCCUCGCGGCGUCUGAGGCUUGACUGCCUGUGUCUGUGUUUGUGGCCGGUCUGCCUCUGUGCCUGGGUCAGACCCCAGACCAGCAGACACACAAACCGCAGGGACGGCUGGGCAGGGUCAGGAGCCUGCCCCGCCCGCACCCCCACCCACACCCCCACCCCCACCCCCGCCUGCACCCCCUGCCCUCAGACGCUGUGCAGUGAGCGGGGCAGCAUGGGAGAGGGGUCUCCAGGUGGCGGGGACCGUUCUGUCUCGAGAGCCUCGCAGACACCGGGCCUUUGAGAAGAGAAGGGGCUGGGCAGGGAAGCAGCUCCUGGAACACCAUCCUGGAGACAGAGGCCCUUGUCCCCUGCCUCAGACAAGGCAGCACGUGGGGCCCGGGGGGCUGGGGCUGCUGUCCAGGCCUUCCUAUGGGACCACCCAGAGGGAAGGUCCCCCGCAGAGGGGUGGGGGCAGAGGGCCGAGCGGGGCGGGCAGAGGGCCCGUGUCAGCCCCACUCCGACCUAGUCCUCGGCCGUCUGGCCAGGACACUUCGGCCCCCCAGGUGCCCACCCCAGGACCCAAAGCUGGUGGCUGCUGGACUCGGCAGGGCUGGCGGGUGGGGCUCACCCGGGCCCCUGCCCUCCGGCGAUGCUGUCCUCAGUGCCCCAGGAGGACGAGGCCCCCCAGCUACUGAGCUUCCCAGCGAGUCCCAUGCAACCCUCAGCCGGGCGGCCCCCGGACCCAGCUCGGGCAGCCGUGGCCAUCUUACUGGGCAGCAUUGGAUGGAGUCAGGUCUCUAAUACUGCCUGGUAAUGAUGACGGCGGAGCCCUGCACGCAGCGACCGGCCGACCCCGUCCCGGCCCCCAGGGCCUCCCGCCGAGCCCCACACUCCCCUCCCACACAGCCCGCUCACCGGACCCCACCCCGUCCGGGCCAGAUGGCUCUGGGGAGAGUGACGGGGGGACGUGACCUUCGGAAGGGGGCUGGGGCGCCCCCCACCAGCAUCUCAGAGACCCCGGAAUGCAAGGCCUCCUGCAGCUGCACCCAGGGCGCCCCACAGUGAUCUGGGGAUUAGGACGCUCAGGUGUCCGGGCCCUGCCCACAGCGCCUGGGCGGGAGCUGCUGUCACACCCAGCAGGUGCGGGCCGAGCAGGACCCAACAGAGGGCUCAGGAGGGCAAGGCCCAACCGGGAGCCACGUGGAACCCAGAGGAAGCCGCCCCACCCAGCUUGGCCACAGCCAUCUUCCCUCCUGCCGGACAGGGUGGGCCGGCCACCGAGCAGACCAGUGCCCCCGCCUUGGUCCCGGGUCAGCAGCCCCAGGGUCCCCUUGCCCUGGAGGAAGCAGGGAGGGUGGGCCUGUGUGCAGUCUCAGGGCCCCCAAGCCCCUCUCCGCCAGCCCUGUCCGGUCCCGGCACCACCCCUGGCUGCUCACCGCUCCGGUUCUUCCCUGGGCUUCCACAGCAGCCCCUGCCUGCCUGGCGGGACCCCACGUCCCUCCCGGGCCCCUGUGAGCAUCUUACCGGACAGUGCUGGAUUUCCCAGCUUGACUCUAACACUGUCUGGUAACGAUGUUCAAAGGUGACCCGCCGCUCGCCGGGGACACCACCGAGGCACAUCCGGAGCUCCUACUCCAGGGAUGGGCUGGGGCGGAGGGCCGAGCGGGGCCAGCAGACGGGUGAGGGCGGAGGGCCGAGCGGGGCCAGCAGACGGGUGAGGGCGGAGGGCCGAGCGGGGCCAGCAGACGGGUGAGGGCGGAGGGCUGAGCGGGCGGCAGAGGGCCUGUGUCAGCUCCGAAGUCCAGCCCCCAGGGGAGGGGCCGGCCUCUGCCGGGGGUGCCCCCGGGGUCACUCACGCCCAGGCUGGGUCUGACACCUUGAGGACCCCUUGGUGCCUCCACAGGUGGCCUGGAGGGCAUCCUGCUCCCCCUCCCGGAGCCGCUGUGCCUCCCCCACCCAACCUCCCAGGCUGGGUUUUAGGGUGACCUGGCUCCAGGAAAGGCCAUAGGGCUGGGAUGCCAGGGCUGGAGAGGGAAGAGCAACAGUGGCCUCUCUCACGUGGUCCGGGCUCCGUGGAGGGUCUGCUGGGGGCGCAGGAAGGACAAGGUGGGUUCAGAUUCCCGAGCCCCACCAUGCAGGGGAGCGGGGACGCUCUGCGCUUGCCCUCUGAGGGACAAGGGGUCUCAUUCCUUCCCCCAGUCAACAAGAACAGGAACUUUGUCCAAAACCCACCAGGCCAGGAUGACCCAUUGUUUCAUCUUUUCCAUCUGCAACCAGGGCGCCUGGGACCGCACCCCCACACAAGGCCCCAGCCUGGGGAGGGGGCAGCCACCGGGGAGAGGCUGCCCUUCACUGUUACUCAUUAACCCGACCGAGCUUCAGGAAGCCAGCGAGGGGCUGCAGGGAACCUUUGCCAAGAGCAGGGCCUGGGUGACCAGGUGGCUCCCGGGUACCCCCACACAGCCAGGCUGGGCUGGGACCAGGUGCUGGGAUGGGGGCUGUCAGGGAAGUGCCUCGGGGGCUCGUUCUGCAGACCCAGGAGGGAUCAGGGCAGCUGCAGGAGGUGGCAGGAGCCGCCCCCGGGGCCUUCCCUUCACAGGCCCCGCAGACACCAGCCCAGGACCCGGAGGCCACCCACACCACCGCCGGCCGAUGGGCGUCUUACCAGACAUGGUUAGACCUGGCCCUCUGUCUAAUACUGUCUGGUAAAACCGUCCAUCCGCUGCCUGAUCACCGUUAGAGGAGAGAGCUGCCUGCCCUGCAGCUCAUCAGUGCAAAGCCGCCCGGUCUGGGGCUCUCAUGCCCCCCUCACUAUGGCCUGUGCCCAUCCGCAGCCCAUCAGUGCAAAGCCGCCGGGGUCUGGGGCUCUUGUGCCCCACCCUCGCCAUGGCCUGUGCCCACCCGGCCUCCUGGGGCCCUCGAGCUGUAGUCCCCGGGCAGAUGCUGUGGACCCCGUGCUAUCAGCCUGGCCCCUGGGGUCACAGUCACAGAUACCCGGAGCCCCACCCCACAGCCCCAGCCCCCUCGCCACCUGGGGAGGCUGAGACAGAAGCAGCUGGGCCCCCCAAAGUGCCUGAGCCCAGGGCACGGAGGAGCACAAAUGCCCAGCAGGGACAAUGUCACAGCGUCUCAGCGGCCAGGCAGCAGGACGCAGAGACCUCUGGGAGGUUCCCGGGGCCAGCCCUGGCCCUCCUCCUCCAGGGGCCAGCCGUGGGAUGCAGACCACACUCUCCCUCCAGGGCCCAUCUCUGGGGCUGAGGCGGGCGGGGCCGGUGCCCAGCUGCAAGACCAUGGGAUAGGGAAGGCAGGUGCUUGGGGCCACGCAGCCCUGCACUGGGGGCCCCUCCACCCCAGGCGGCUCACGAGGUGUCAUCUGGAGCUGUCCCCAAGCCGGGAUCUGCAGGUUGACCUCCCCCACCCGGGGCUAUCUCCAGACCCUCUUUCCUCCCUGGGGAGAUGGGGCAGUCCCCCGCAGGGCCAGCUGAAACCACCCCCAUGCUGCUGCCGCCUGAGCGACGUGUGUGGGGAAGAACUUGGAGUGCCACCCCCAGAAUGUGGCGUCCACCUCACCAGACCGCACGGGUGAGCCCUGGACUGCAAGGUGCAUAUAACACAAGGUUUGGACACACCUGGAGAGCUCGGGCCAGGCAGGGCCACACCUGUGAGCCUGAGCUCAUCCAACACCGCCCGGAGCUCGGGGACCUUCCCCAUCCCAGCACCUCCUCACCGCUGUGCCCGUCUGGCCAGUCCCUCCAAGCACCCCUCGGAUGAAGUUGCGCCCCACACUGCAGUGGGGCUCACUCUCCACAGCGCCUGCUGCGUUGCACGGGGUGUGACAGGAAGGACCCUGCUGGGGCUGGCGGGGCCGUACCCAGAGCCUCCCUGUGCGGUUUCUCCUCCUCCUCCUCCUCUCCAUAAGCACCGGGAACAAAACAGAAAAAAGUCUUUGUAUAGUAAUAAAGUCUGCAGUUCACGCA